RNAcentral lists this ribosomal RNA (470 nucleotides) under uncultured bacterium. Its description in RNAcentral is "bacterial SSU rRNA". It matches the Rfam family "Bacterial small subunit ribosomal RNA", at positions 29 to 496 of the family's 1533-position model. The record is from RNAcentral.
AGCGAACGUUUGCGGCGGGCCUAACACAUGCAAGUCGAACGCACUAGCAAUAGUGAGUGGCGCACGGGUGCGUAACACGUGGGUAAUCAACCCUUCAGCCUGGGAUAACGACUCGAAAGGGUCGCUAAUACCGGAUACGGCGCGAGAGGCUUCGGCUUCUCACGAGAAAGCCACGCAAGGGGGCACUGAAGGACGAGCCUGCGGCCCAUCAGCUAGUUGGUGAGGUAAGAGCUCACCAAGGCUAAGACGGGUAGCUGGUCUGAGAGGAUGAUCAGCCACACUGGAACUGAGACACGGUCCAGACUCCUACGGGAGGCAGCAGUGGGGAAUAUUGCGCAAUGGGCGAAAGCCUGACGCAGCCACGCCGCGUGAGCGAUGAAGGCCUUCGGGUCGUAAGGACUCUGUGGGAGGAGACGAAGAAAGACCUGUGAAGAGCAGGCCUUGACGGUAGUCUCCUUAGCAAGCACCGG